Molecule: ribosomal RNA, 534 nt
Filed under: uncultured archaeon
Lineage: Archaea
Description: bacterial SSU rRNA
Rfam family: Archaeal small subunit ribosomal RNA
Source: RNAcentral
GCACAACACGGUGCAGCGAGCGCUUUGCGAUAGGACAUCCCUGUGCGUAGGCUAGAGCCUACGCUUUUGUCCCCCUAGGGUGGUGGACGAAUAAGGGCUGGGCAGGACCGGUGCCAGCCGCCGCGGUAAUACCGGCAGCCCAAGUGAUGGCCGAUCUUAUUGGGCCUAAAGCGUCCGUAGCUGGCCGCACAAGUCCAUCGGGAAAUCCACCUGCUCAACAGGUGGCCGUCCGGUGGAAACUGUGUGGCUUGGGACCGGAAGGCGCGACGGGUACGUCCGGGGUAGGAGUGAAAUCCUGUAAUCCUGGACGGACCGCCGAUGGCGAAAGCACGUCGCGAAAACGGAUCCGACAGUGAGGGACGAAAGCUAGGGUCUCGAACCGGAUUAGAUACCCGGGUAGUCCUAGCCGUAAACACUGCCUGCUAGGUGUGGCUCCACUACGAGUGGGUGCUGUGCCGUAGGAAGCCGCUAAGCAGGCCGCUGGGAGUACGUCCGCAGGAUGAAACUUAAGGAAUUGGCGGGGGGAGCACUAUG